CCUAAAUGUGGGGGUCACGGUGCCCCGAUAGCGCAAGAUUCGGGAGCCAAGAGGGAAGCCGGUGCAACUCCGGCGCUGCCCCCGCAACUGUAAGCGGCGAGCCGCCGUCGAUAGCGUCACUGGUGCGAAAGCGCCGGGAAGGCCAGACGGAAGCAUUGACCCGCGAGCCAGGAGACCUGCCGCGACGCCGAAUUAAAC
This 198-nucleotide non-coding RNA is filed under the name Rhodomicrobium vannielii. RNAcentral also lists the same sequence under 1 other name. Lineage: Bacteria; Pseudomonadati; Pseudomonadota; Alphaproteobacteria; Hyphomicrobiales; Hyphomicrobiaceae. The record is from RNAcentral.